Long non-coding RNA from Poecilia reticulata (guppy), 355 nucleotides. RefSeq lists it as uncharacterized. The record is from RefSeq and is a predicted model, not a curated record. Lineage: Eukaryota; Metazoa; Chordata; Actinopteri; Cyprinodontiformes; Poeciliidae.
AGGAGGAAGAGGGAGAGACCGUCAGUGUGGAUUAAACAAGAAGAAAGAGAGGGAAAGAAAGAGAAAACUCUGGCUUUGGAUCACAUAAAACAGCUGGGGAACAGCCUGCAUGUGAGAUGGUGUCAAAAGGAAGAAGCAGAGACGUGUGAAUGGAGCAGACUCGAGAAGAUGCCAGAACCAGAAGGCGCCCGCUGAAGAUGCUAACUCCACACAAAAGAACUGCAUUUUCAACAGGUCUAACUGAUUCCACAGAUGACCACGGGCCUCUCGCAGAGCCGCGCCGAAGCAGAGAAACGCUGCACAGCCCGCUUUAUGUUUCACUAACCGGGAUUAAAUUUGGUUAAUGUAGGAAACA